RNAcentral lists this ribosomal RNA (1003 nucleotides) under Globodera rostochiensis. RNAcentral describes it as "eukaryotic LSU rRNA". The stretch from base 576 to 729 matches the Rfam family "5.8S ribosomal RNA". Lineage: Eukaryota; Metazoa; Nematoda; Chromadorea; Rhabditida; Heteroderidae. The record is from RNAcentral.
UCGUAACAAGGUAGCUGUAGGUGAACCUGCUGCUGGAUCAUUACCCAAGUGAUACCAAUUCACCACCUACCUGCUGUCCAGUUGAGUCAGUGUGGGCAACACCACAUGCCUCCGUUUGUUGUUGACGGACAUAUGCCCACUGUGUAUGGGCUGGCACAUUGACCAACAAUGUACGGACAGCGCCCUGUGGGCACAUGAGUGUUGGGGUAUAACCGAUGUUGGUGGCCCUAUGGGUGAGCCGACGAUUGCUGCUGUCGUCGGGUCGCUGCGCCAACGGAGGAAGCACGCCCACAGGGCACCCUAACGGCUGUGCUGGCGUCUGUGCGUCGUUGAGCGGUUGUUGCGCCUUGCGCAGAUAUGCUAACAUGGAGUGUAGCUGCUACUCCAUGUUGUACGUGCCGUACCUUGCGGCAUGUCUGCGCUUGUGUGCUACGUCCGUGGCCGUGAUGAGACGACGUGUUAGGACCCGUGCCUGGCAUUGGCACGUGGUUUAAGACUUGAUGAGUGCCCGCAGGCACCGCCAGCUUUUUCCCAUUUUUAUUUAUUUUUUAUGCAAUUCGAUUGCUAAAAUAUUCUAGUCUUAUCGGUGGAUCACUCGGCUCGUGGAUCGAUGAAGAACGCAGCCAACUGCGAUAAUUAGUGUGAACUGCAGAAACCUUGAACACAGAACUUUCGAAUGCACAUUGCGCCAUUGGAGUGACAUCCAUUGGCAUGCCUGGUUCAGGGUCGUAACCAAAAAAUGCACUGCAUGUGCGUGUUUUAUUUGCUAAGAUCACGCUUCGGCGUGUUCUUGCAUACCAUUGAAUGCUACGCGGUGUAGCGGUGGACGUGCUGGCGCGAAAAUGUGUUGUCAUUCGCGCUUUACAGACCGUAAUUUAGGCACGCCCUUCGUUCACAUGCGAUAGCUGAAUGCCUCGCCAAUAGGCAUUUGCAAUUGAACAUUUCGACCUGAACUCAGACGUGAACACCCGCUGAACUUAAGCAUAUCAUUUAGCGGAGGAAA